RNAcentral lists this unclassified non-coding RNA (3103 nucleotides) under Hevea brasiliensis (rubber tree). Lineage: Eukaryota; Viridiplantae; Streptophyta; Magnoliopsida; Malpighiales; Euphorbiaceae. The record is from RNAcentral.
UGCCGAGUGUGCCAAUACUAGCAUAGGCGUUUCCCAAAAGCAAGGCCUUGCAGUGCGCGUGCAAAUCCUCAAACGCUGGUUUCGGUCUUCUCUCAUCCUCUGCUUAUUCUCAGUCUCCAUAGACUCUACUCUCUGAACCCAAAUCUGGGUUGCUGUUGAAGCUUCUACUCUUCAUCCCUUGCUAACCUAACCCUUUCCUCUUUCAAGACCCCACACAAGGAGUAGGAGGAGGAAAGUUCAUUUCUUUCCGGCAAUUUCUCCGAUCCGGCUGCCCACUCAAUGUUCAUCACCGGAAACAACAACAUUCCCCAUGGAAUCCCUCUCUCCAGCGGCGGUGGAGGAUUCUGGUGGGCGGUAGCUGGUCCUAACUCCAGAAUAGCUUUAGCCGUCACGGCUUUGGCCGGAAUCGCCGUGUUCGCCGCCCUUUUUUACACUACUAGUAGGUAAUCAAUGAGGGGAAAAAAUCAUUCUCCUUUGCUUUGUGGGUAGCAAGUGAGAGAGAUAAGAGAGAGUUAGAUUUUGCAAUUCUUGUUUGUUCUUUUGGUUUUGUGGGAUUUUUAAGUAGUUGUCAGGAAAGUGAAGUAAAUGAAAGCUUUAAGACGAAGUCAUACUUCGUCGUCGUCAUCAAAUUCGUCUUCUCCAUCAUCUUCAUCAUCAGGGUCGUCUUCGUGGAUUCACUUGCGUUCUGUUCUUUUAAUUGUUAAUUCUUCCUCACCAGCGUCUUGUUCCUCUUCUGAUCGGGGCCAUCUUAAGUCACCAUGGUCUCGCAGGAAAAGAAAACACGCCCUUACUCCUCGGCAAUGGGGGAGAUUGUUUACACCAGAUGGGAAACUCCAUGAUGGUGGAGUUAAAUUUUUGAAAAAAGUUCGGAGUGGAGUGAGUAAUGAUUUUAAUUUCUGUAUUUGUUUUGCUUUGCCGUGAUUAUGGUUUAUCUCUUAUAUUUCUCUUGUAGGGUGUAGAUCCGAGUAUUAGAGCAGAGGUCUGGCCGUUCCUCCUUGGAGUGUAUGAGUUGAACAGUUCUAAAGAAGAAAGAGAUACUAUAAGAACCCAGAAAAGAAAGGAAUAUGAGAAACUCCGCAGACAGUGCCGACGGCUCCUCAAACACAGCAAUGAGAGCUUUAAGUUGAAUGGGAGUAGCGAACCAAGCGGCAAUGUGGAUAGCGGAAGCCUUGUUCAAGAUAUGGACUCUUCUAGUUAUGAAGAUGUGGUUAGUGCAAGGGAAUCCCUUUCCAGUGAGGAAAGGAGUCCAGAUGUUGAGUACUCUGAUGAUCCCUCUAGUACACUGUUGGAAGUUGAUGAUAGUUCAAGACAGCAGAUGACAAACACUGAUGCCUCUGCACUGAACACUGAAUCAUCUGACUCAGACUCCUCUGAAGACCCCGAAGCAGUUAUUCAGGCUUCCUCUUCUUCAGGACAGGAAAAUAAUGGUCCUGAUGAGCCUUCCAAAGAGUUUACUUCUCCCUCAAGGACUGAGCUCCACUCGAGUGCACCUGCUGCUGAAAAUUUUGCUACUUGGCAGCGGAUAAUUCGUGUAGAUGCAGUGCGUGCCAAUUCAGAAUGGAUACCUUACUCUCCAUCUCAGGCUUCAGUAUCAGAGGAUAGAGCACGCUGUUCUGCAGAGGCUGUUGGGUUAAAGGACUAUGAACAUCUGGAACCCGGCAGAAUUUUCCAUGCUGCCCGAUUAGUUAAAAUUCUCGAAGCCUAUGCAAUCUAUGACUCUGAAAUUGGCUACUGUCAGGGCAUGAGUGAUCUCCUUUCUCCGAUUAUUACUGUUAUUACAGCGGAUGCUGAAGCAUUCUGGUGUUUUGUGGGUUUCAUGAAGAAGGCUCGCCAUAAUUUUAGGCUCGAUGAAGUGGGAAUUCGAAGGCAAUUGAAUAUUGUUUCCAAGAUUAUCAAAUGCAAAGACUCCCACCUUUUCAGGCACUUGGAGAAGCUCCAGGCUGAGGAUUGUUUUUUUGUUUAUAGGAUGGUGGUGGUGCUGUUCAUGAGGGAGUUGACUUUUGAACAGACAAUUUGUCUCUGGGAAGUGAUGUGGGCAGAUCAGGCAGCCAUAAGAGCUGGCAUUGGCAAGUCAGCAUGGAGCAGGAUAAGGCAGCGAGCGCCACCAACAGAUGAUUUAUUGCUUUAUGCUAUUGCAGCUUCAGUAUUGCAGAGGAGAAAAUUAAUCAUAGAAAAGUAUAACAGCAUGGAUGAAAUUUUAAGGGAGUGCAAUAGCAUGGCUGGGCAACUCGAUGUGUGGAAGCUGCUAGAUGAUGCACAUGACUUGGUGGUCACCCUGCACGACAAGAUAGAGACAUCCAUCUGAUGGCUGCAUUUCAGUUAUGUCCGCUAACUCACGCUAAUUCUUUUUCUUCUUUGGGAUAUUUGAAGUCUCCUUGUCACAACUUCUAAAAAGCACUACAGUGGCUAUUCAUUCUCAAUUAUGCUAGUUAGUUCUCAAAUGGCAUACUUGAGAAGAUUUAUUUAGGAUUGUUUGCAUCUAAUUCUACCACUUUUUGGAACCAGGGUCUCCAAACAGGUAGGGCCUGUUAUUAAGAUAUGGACAAUGUGAUUCUCAAUAUUGGAUUCUCUUUGUAACUGGUUGUUGGCAGAAGCAGGAUUAGCUGCUUUAAGCUUCUUCUAACGGCUGAAUAAGAUUGUCUUGAAUGAUUUAAGUACUGAAUUAUGGCGUAGCAAAUAGCAAUGCUAUAAAUUCUUGAAGAGAGAGAUUCCUUUCCAACUAAAUUAUGUCUAUGCUGUGCUUUUCCUUGGAUUUUCAUAACUUGCAGAUGUAAAAUGUAAAAAAUAAUAAACAAAAGAACUACCAUUUUAUAAAAUAAAUGAAUUAUCCAUUCCGAGUUGUAAGACUCCUUCCUAAAUUUUACACUUUUGCUUGUAGGAUUGGCACAGAAAAACAUGCUGGAUUCCGGAUUCCUGAUCUCAGCAAUUGAAGCCAACAAUUUGGACUCAGGACCCUCUUAUCAUCAUUUUUUCCUAGGAACUAUUUUUUUAACGAAGCACUUGUCCAAAUUGCACAUCUAAGCAUUUUUUAUUGAUGUCCACUAUUAGGACAAAAUGAUUAUCCUUCUAAUUCAAUUCAUUUGGACUGUAAUUGACCUUGUUU